RNAcentral lists this ribosomal RNA (998 nucleotides) under Aliculastrum debile. RNAcentral describes it as "SSU rRNA". It matches the Rfam family "Eukaryotic small subunit ribosomal RNA", at positions 25 to 992 of the family's 1831-position model. The record is from RNAcentral. Lineage: Eukaryota; Metazoa; Mollusca; Gastropoda; Cephalaspidea; Haminoeidae.
CAUAUGCUUGUCUCAAAGAUUAAGCCAUGCAUGUCUAAGUUCACACUGUCUCACGGUGAAACCGCGAAUGGCUCAUUAAAUCAGUCGAGGUUCCUUAGAUGACACGAUCCUACUUGGAUAACUGUGGCAAUUCUAGAGCUAAUACAUGCCUAUGAAGCUCCGACCCUCGUGGAAAGAGCGCUUUUAUUAGUUCAAAACCAAUCGCCGGUGGUCCUCGGGCCGCCGGUGUCCCCUUUGGUGACUCUGGAUAACUUUGUGCUGAUCGCAUGGCCUUCGCGCCGGCGACGCAUCUUUCAAAUGUCUGCCCUAUCAAAUGUCGAUGGUACGUGAUAUGCCUACCAUGUUUGUAACGGGUAACGGGGAAUCAGGGUUCGAUUCCGGAGAGGGAGCAUGAGAAACGGCUACCACAUCCAAGGAAGGCAGCAGGCGCGCAACUUACCCACUCCCGGCACGGGGAGGUAGUGACGAAAAAUAACAAUACGGGACUCUCUACGAGGCUCCGUAAUUGGAAUGAGUACACUUUAAACCCUUUAACGAGGAUCUAUUGGAGGGCAAGUCUGGUGCCAGCAGCCGCGGUAAUUCCAGCUCCAAUAGCGUAUAUUAAAGUUGUUGCAGUUAAAAAGCUCGUAGUUGGAUCUCAGGUGCAGGCGGACGGUCCGGCUCGCGCCGGUUCACUGUCCGUAUUUCCUGCCCUACUGGUCUGCCGGCUCUCUCCCGCGGGUGCUCUUCGCUGAGCGUCCCGGGUGGCCGGCGCGUUUACUUUGAAAAAAUUAGAGUGUUCAAAGCAGGCCUCGGCUGCCUGAAUAAUGGUGCAUGGAAUAAUGGAAUAGGACCUCGGUUCUAUUUUGUUGGUUUUCGGAACUGGAGGUAAUGAUUAAAAGGGACAAACGGGGGCAUUCGUAUUGCGGCGUUAGAGGUGAAAUUCUUGGAUCGCCGCAAGACGAGCUACUGCGAAAGCAUUUGUCAAGAAUGUUUUCAUUAAUCAAGAACGAAAGUCA